CCCAGAGUGGUGUAAUGGUAACAUCCCAAGUUGACACAUGGUAGAAGGUAAUGGGAUAGUAGACCAUGCCCCUACCAUGCCCUACGGGGGCCGGGGAAUCCGGGUUCGAUUCCUGGCUCUGGGA
RNAcentral lists this transfer RNA (124 nucleotides) under Nemania serpens. RNAcentral's name for it is "tRNA-Val". It matches the Rfam family "tRNA". From Rfam's summary of the family: Transfer RNA (tRNA) molecules are approximately 80 nucleotides in length. Their secondary structure includes four short double-helical elements and three loops (D, anti-codon, and T loops). Lineage: Eukaryota; Fungi; Ascomycota; Sordariomycetes; Xylariales; Xylariaceae. The record is from RNAcentral.